UACAGAGGGGGCAAGCGUUAUUCGGAAUUAUUGGGCGUAAAGGGCGCGUAGGCGGCCUGGCAAGUGGAAGGUGAAAUCCCUCGGCUUAACCGAGGAACUGCCUCCCAAACUGCUUGGCUUGAGACCGGGAGAGGUGAGUGGAAUUCCCAGUGUAGCGGUGAAAUGCGUAGAUAUUGGGAGGAACACCAGUGGCGAAGGCAGCCCCCUGGGCUGAGAUUGACGCUCAGGCACGAAAGCGUGGGGAGCAAACAGG
Molecule: ribosomal RNA, 253 nt
Filed under: uncultured bacterium
Lineage: Bacteria
Description: partial 16S ribosomal RNA
Rfam family: Bacterial small subunit ribosomal RNA
Source: RNAcentral